GACGAACGCUGGCGGCGUGCUUAACACAUGCAAGUCGAACGGAAAGGCCCUGCUUGCAGGGUACUCGAGUGGCGAACGGGUGAGUAACACGUGGGUGAUCUGCCCUGCACUUCGGGAUAAGCCUGGGAAACUGGGUCUAAUACCGGAUAGGAGCCAUUUUUAGUGUGAUGGUUGGAAAGUUUUUUCGGUGUAGGAUGAGCUCGCGGCCUAUCAGCUUGUUGGUGGGGUAAUGGCCUACCAAGGCGGCGGCGGGUAGCCGGCCUGAGAGGGUGGACGGCCACAUUGGGACUGAGAGACGGCCCAGACUCCUACGGGAGGCAGCAGUGGGGAAUAUUGCACAAUGGGCGCAAGCCUGAUGCAGCGACGCCGCGUGGGGGAUGACGGCCUUCGGGUUGUAAACUCCUUUCGCUAGGGACGAAGCUUUUUGUGACGGUACCUAGAUAAGAAGCACCGGCUAACUACGUG
RNAcentral lists this ribosomal RNA (465 nucleotides) under uncultured bacterium. RNAcentral describes it as "partial 16S ribosomal RNA". It matches the Rfam family "Bacterial small subunit ribosomal RNA", at positions 28 to 507 of the family's 1533-position model. The record is from RNAcentral.